UCAGUGGUUGAGUCACCGGGCUCGUGCCGUGAUGGCGCCGGUUCGAUUCCCGCUGCCUGC
This 60-nucleotide transfer RNA is filed under the name Eutreptiella gymnastica. Its description in RNAcentral is "partial tRNA". The record is from RNAcentral. Lineage: Eukaryota; Euglenozoa; Euglenophyceae; Eutreptiales; Eutreptiaceae.